UUUAGAGAGCCGUGGAAAGUGGCCAAGAGGCGUGAGAGCGCCGCCGCCGCUGACUAAUGGGAAGAGCCGUUGGUGUGAGGUGGGAGCAAGAGAAACAGCGAUUGGUUGGAUGAGCCUAAGCGCCUGAGGUGGGGGCCAGCGGUGGGGGUCCGGUGGACUGAGGCGCAUCAAGAUGGCGGCCGAGACGGUGGAGCUCCACAAGCUGAAGCUUGCUGAACUAAAGCAAGAAUGUCUUGCUCGUGGUUUAGAGACCAAGGGAAUAAAACAAGAUCUUAUAAAUAGGCUGCAGGCCUAUCUUGAAGACCAUGAAGAAGAAGCAAAUGAAGAAGAUGUACUGGGAGAUGAAACUGAGGAAGAAGAACCAAAGCCCAUAGAACUGCCUGUUAAAGAGGAAGAACCUCCUGAAAAGGCUGUUGAUAUGGCAUCGGAAAAGAAGGUGGUAAAGAUUACAUCUGGGAUACCUCAGACUGAAAGAAUGCAGAAGAGGGCUGAACGAUUCAAUGUACCUGUAAGCCUGGAGAGUAAGAAGGCUGCCCGGGCGGCUAGGUUUGGAAUUUCUUCAGUUCCAACAAAAGGUUUAUCAUCUGACACCAAGCCUAUGGGUUUCUCUGUGUAGCCCUGGCUAUUCUGGAACUUGCUCUGUAGACCAGUCUUCCCUCCAACUCGAAGACCAUCCACCUGCCUCUCUGCCUUUCUGCCUCUGCCCCUGCCUCGAGUACUGGGACUAAAGGUGUGUCCCCACCACUGCCCAGCUUCUAAUUCUUAAUGACAACAGAGAAUCUGUAGAAGCAACUUAGUUAACCUGGAUAAACUAAAGGAAAGAGCACAGAGAUUUGGUUUGAAUGUCUCUUCCAUCUCUAGAAAGUCUGAGGAUGAUGAGAAGCUGAAGAAACGGAAGGAGAGAUUUGGGAUUGUGACAAGUUCAGCUGGAACUGGAACCACAGAGGAUACAGAGGCAAAGAAAAGAAAAAGAGCAGAGCGUUUUGGAAUUGCAUAAUGAAAAGUUCGUGCUUUCUGCACCAUAGUGUUUUCCAUUUCUCAAAUUUUUCUUGGUUUUAUAUAUACAUACACACCCCUACCUACCUACCUAUCUACAUACACAGUCAUGUGCCUCACAGUGAGGAAGCAUGUACGUUUGGUACAUCCUUGAAUUCAGUAGCAGUUUUAUUUAACUGCUCUUCUGCGUUUAAGAUUGUUGUGGUUUUUGUUUUUAAUUAUUUUUGCUUAUUAAUAAAAAAGGAAGAAAAGAAAAUGUGUUUUA
RNA transcript from Mus musculus (house mouse), 1261 nucleotides. It is a transcript of the gene named SAP domain containing ribonucleoprotein, with no coding region annotated. The transcript has 12 exons. Lineage: Eukaryota; Metazoa; Chordata; Mammalia; Rodentia; Muridae. The record is from RefSeq and is marked validated.